This 73-nucleotide transfer RNA is filed under the name Actinoplanes lutulentus. RNAcentral's name for it is "tRNA-Ala". It matches the Rfam family "tRNA". Rfam says of the family: Transfer RNA (tRNA) molecules are approximately 80 nucleotides in length. Their secondary structure includes four short double-helical elements and three loops (D, anti-codon, and T loops). Further hydrogen bonds mediate the characteristic L-shaped molecular structure. tRNAs have two regions of fundamental functional importance: the anti-codon, which is responsible for specific mRNA codon recognition, and the 3' end, to which the tRNAs corresponding amino acid is attached (by aminoacyl-tRNA synthetases). tRNAs cope with the degeneracy of the genetic code in two manners: having more than one tRNA (with a specific anti-codon) for a particular amino acid; and 'wobble' base-pairing, i.e. permitting non-standard base-pairing at the 3rd anti-codon position. The record is from RNAcentral. Lineage: Bacteria; Bacillati; Actinomycetota; Actinomycetes; Micromonosporales; Micromonosporaceae.
GGGCUCGUAGCUCAUCUGGGAGAGCGCCUGUCUUGCAAACAGGAGGUGGCCGGUUCGACCCCGGCCGGGUCCA